GGCAAAACUUUCCAUUUCUUUUAUAAAACAAAAUUGACAUUACAUUCCAAGUAUGUCUACAUGCCCUAUGAUUAAGCUAAUUCCAAACUGAAGUUGCUGCGGACACUAAUUUAUGCUACAAAGCAGUGAGGCAUACAGCAACUUCUUCAAAAGAAGAAACAGAACAAAAACAAUAUUUUGUAGAAAAGAAUGAUAAUACAAAU
RNAcentral lists this unclassified non-coding RNA (203 nucleotides) under Hevea brasiliensis (rubber tree). The record is from RNAcentral. Lineage: Eukaryota; Viridiplantae; Streptophyta; Magnoliopsida; Malpighiales; Euphorbiaceae.